Molecule: ribosomal RNA, 498 nt
Filed under: uncultured bacterium
Lineage: Bacteria
Description: partial 16S ribosomal RNA
Rfam family: Bacterial small subunit ribosomal RNA
Source: RNAcentral
GGAUGAACGCUGGCGGCGUGCCUACUCCAUGCAAGUCGAGCGAACGGACGAGAAGCUUGCUUCUCUGAUGUUAGCGGCGGACGGGUGAGUAACACGUGGAUAACCUACCUAUAAGACUGGGAUAACUUCGGGAAACCGGAGCUAAUACCGGAUAAUAUUUUGAACCGCAUGGUUCAAAAGUGAAAGACGGUCUUGCUGUCACUUAUAGAUGGAUCCGCGCUGCAUUAGCUAGUUGGUAAGGUAACGGCUUACCAAGGCAACGAUGCAUAGCCGACCUGAGAGGUUGAUCGGCCACACUGGAACUGAGACACGGUCCAGACUCCUACGGGAGGCAGCAGUAGGGAAUCUUCCGCAAUGGGCGAAAGCCUGACGGAGCAACGCCGCGUGAGUGAUGAAGGUCUUCGGAUCGUAAAACUCUGUUAUUAGGGAAGAACAUAUGUGUAAGUACCUGUGCACAUCUUGACGGUACCUAAUCAGAAAGCCACGGCUAACUACGUG